UUCAUCACCCAGCAGGGGAGUCACCACAAACUCAAGGUAGUUUUCCCAGAGGAGGACUAUCCAUUGUGUUCAACCCUUGCAAUUUCCCCAAACAUGGGAAUCUCGACUGCAUAAUUUGCGGUGACUGGGGACUGCAUUUGCGCUCUCCCCUA
RNAcentral lists this small nuclear RNA (152 nucleotides) under Bos mutus (wild yak). RNAcentral describes it as "U1 spliceosomal RNA (ENSBMUG00000001876.1)". It matches the Rfam family "U1 spliceosomal RNA". Rfam says of the family: U1 is a small nuclear RNA (snRNA) component of the spliceosome (involved in pre-mRNA splicing). The record is from RNAcentral. Lineage: Eukaryota; Metazoa; Chordata; Mammalia; Artiodactyla; Bovidae.